CUACUGUGCUGGCCAGAGAGUGAGUCAAGUGACAUACAUACACAAGAAAUAUUUAGUUAUGAGGAUUGAAGAAAUUAAUGAUCAUUCAGUCAUUGAGGAUUUGAGAAGAGACAUCAAUGUUCCAGUAGAGGUGUUAUUGAAGUUGUGGCUGUCAAUAGUCCUUUUAUUGAUGCUAAGUAUAUGGUAAGGAAAUAAUGCUAUAUGAUUUGCAUAUUUUUUGCUAUGAGAACUUCUGCAACUGAAACUCAAAGUUUAGGUGUUGAACUCAUAGUUUUGCAGUAGUUAGUUUUGUACUACUUUGUAUCAAAAUUGCAUCAGACCAUGCUGCACUGUAUUUUGAGCAUAGAAAAAUUACUUAACACCUUUAAUUUACAGAGCCUCACGUGUUUCAAGUAUGAAUAAGAACUACGAACUCUUUUUGUGCGAUUUAAAUACAUUUCCAGAGUUUUUAUUUGUUAGUACAUGUUGUCUAAAGUAACAUUUGCCCAGAGAGAGAAGCAUGCCCCUCUCUCGUUAUUAUUAUUAUUAUUAGAAGGUAUUAAAUUCAAAAUAAACAAUUUCAUUUACUUGAAGCACUUGAAAAGUUUGGUCGGUUGACUCCAGGUAUGAGCAGCUCCCGAGCUUGAUGGCUGGAUGUGUGCACACAUGUAAUGGGGUAUCAUGGUCAUGUUGCUUGGUGUGCAGAGGCAACCUCAUUUUUGGACCAAAAAGAGGGGCGAUGACGAUGAUGACUGGCUGAAACAAUCAUGUCUUGAGCAAUCAAGAUAGCCUUGGCUUGUGGGACUAAACAGAGCUGAAAAAGUCGGUGUCACCAUUGGAGUUUCCCUUAGAGCCUACCCUUACCUCUGUUGUAGCCUGCUUAAUUUUAUUGCCGAUGUUGGAUGAUAUGUGCCUUGGACGGUCGUUCUGAUGAGUGAUACUCUCGGACCAGGUCUAUUUCAACACACACGAACCCAUUGACCUCCCAUGUUCCUGGGGAGCGUUGCAUGUCGGAAAAUUUAGGGGUUGUGUCACACAAAGUUCUGCAUUGACACUUAGAAAGUAAGUGAAAAGCGAUAUGCCGUUUUUUGAGGCUAUCUACAAUCCCGUUAAAAGGCAACUGCUAAACACUAAAGGGCAAUGGAACUCAAUUUGUCGGUAUUCGCAGUUUGAUAAAUUAUAUUAGUAGUAUUUCUUGGAUUUAUAUAAGAAAAACAAAAAUAGUUACCUUUGUGUGAAUUACAGUGCUAAUGAUAAAUUCUUUGUAUCAGACAUGAAUGGACAUAUUCAAGAUUUCCUUUCACCUAGGCUUGGUUAGUUGGCCACUUCAAUUCCCACUUUCUGUCAUGUAAUCUUGAUGUCGAUAUUUCGACAUUACAUACAGAAUAUGAUGCAUUAUGUAGAAGUUACUAAUGGUCAAAAAAAUUCUGGAUAUGACACUUGCUUACUCCUAUUCACAUUAUGUAGAAGUUGCAUAAGGCAGAACAAGAAUAAGAACAUUUGUCAGUUUUUUCAUGUGCUGGUUCAGCAGCGGGCAAUGCUCACGACAGAGUUGGGCGUACAUCAUAUAUAUACAUAUGUUGUCGUGUCUUAAUAAAUGGAGAUGAGAUAUCUAUCCGACUGUCAUCCUUCCCAGACUUGGGUUUGUCAUCUCUGUCGGCGUCCACCUGCGCUUCCUUCAUUGGUUGUCAUUUCUUUGUACACUGCUGUAAUUUAGAGAUCAUAAUAUAUUUUCCAUGGAUACAAUUGAAUACGACACCCAAUUUGCUAUAUAAUUGUUCAGCUCUCUCUCAUAGCGAUUCAUACAAAAUAUCAUGCAUAAUGGUCCCAGCUUAAGUAGAAAAUAACCAUUGGAUUGUUCAAACUUUGCUCGUGUUUCGCAGGGCACCAUAACUCUAAUCCGACAUGAGCAGUCCAACCACGACAGUGAGCAGUGGAACCGCAAGAUAGAGAUAGAUACAAGUAGAAUAUAACUGGUCAUAUUUCUAAAAUGAUCACACUACUUAUGGUGCCGGAAGAGAAGGCAUCAGUGAUAGUGGGCUAGGUGAUGAGGGCAUCAAUACAAAGAGAUUAAUUCACAACUUUGUUCUUGAUAGGUUGUACAAAUAUACAAGGUACUACUGUUUCCUUUUAUGUUUAAAUAGCUUUGUGAGUACAACUAUAUGAAAAUUCUGCGAUUCAUGGUGCGGAAGCGGGCAUCUUUGUUUCCCUGACCAAAAAUUCUUAGUUUCAUGCCUCCACGGUAUAAUUUAGAGGCACAGUCCAAUGAGAGAUUCCUACUUAGCUAGCUAAUAUAUAACGUUUGAUGGUACUGUCUUGUGUUGUAAAUACAAGAUAUGCUACAUGAGCAUUACUUUUAUUUUGAAUUUAAUUUUGUGUUUGAGCCUCUUUUACAUAUUAAGUGUAAUAUCACAGACUUUCUUCUUUCAGGGUUAACUGGCCAUGCAAAAACUGUUGUGAGGCAUUAAAUGGUACUAUAUGUUUUUGGCCUGCUUUUGUUCACUUUUGUCCUUUCCAAAGUGUAAUAAGAAAAGAAAGUCAAAAUAGGCUCAACCAUGACUACUCUGCUCUUGUGAUCACCAAUUUCUGCUCCAUUGCGCACAAGAAAGUAGUGACUAUUUAUUUGCUUAAACAAUAUGUCCAACCACCAAUUUCUGCCUGUCCUGCUAAUACUCCUUUAUGGAUGUAUCGCACAAAUUUCAGUUAUUAGAUAUGAAAUGUAGGUUCUCUACACAGAGCUGGGUCCAAUGGUCAAUGCAGCUCUAUGUUGUGCUAUCUUGCUAUUGGGCUCUUUUUUCGUUACUUAAAAUGGACAUAUAUCUCUGAUGUUAAAUUCGUGCUUCAUUGCUUAUAUCCAAAAUAACCAUGUUAGUACACUGAAGCCAAUUUCUACAUUGUUAGUGAAGUUGGCUAAAUAGUUUUUGCGCCACUAAGAUAUAUAUGUGCACUGCAUUCUAACCCUGCAAAUUGUUGUGCUAUUAGUUUAAUCCAAAAUAUAAUUAUGUUUGUGUCUCGACAUAUGCUUGUGAUGCGUCGUGCUACCAGAGGCCAACAUUAUCCAGUAUCAUAGCGACGCUAAAAAUGCCUAUUGGUUACUCCGCAUAUUCUCAUCUGAUUUCUCAUAUAUAGAUAUUAAUUUCCUUUCAUGGGAGGCCUUCAUUACAUUUCAGCGGCAGUUGCGGAUGUGGUCGGCGGUUGAGGGAGGGUCUCCGACUAGAGCAGCAGGAGCAAGGAGCUCAAGGAGGUUCAGGUUUGCCUCUACAUCCUCUCUCUUUCCUCCACUUUGUUCUUGCAUUUAGAGGAUACAACUUGUGAUCAUGUUAUAUUCUGCUUUUGUCAGUUUGCUGGUCCAUAUUAAUUUCCUCGAGCUUAUUUUCACAUCUCGUCAUAUUUACACCUCUCCGCCGACUGCCACCUAUCAUGGAGGGAGAUGGCUUGGCCAGGCCGUCAAGACCCAUCGGCAACUUCCAGCAGGCGUCGUCCCGUACUUCUGCAUGUAAACUGAAUUGAUUUACCAAUAAAAAUCUGGACAACUCAUUCCAGUCGAUAAUAACCAUUGUGGCAUUACCAUGAUAUGUCAUGUAUCUGCUCUGAGUUGCACUAUGUUGCAAAAAGUACAAUAAGAGAUAGAAUGUAUGCACUAUGGCUAGCAGUAACUUUUUUUUGACUUGUACAACAUUUGAUCUAUCUAUUUCUGCAGGAUAUUCCUCUUGUUGCAACCUUUUCCCAUAGAAUCAAAAGGAAUUAGAUUGAAGAAAUUGCAGGAGGUACUACUUCGUGUUCCAUUAGUCUUACUUUUGGAGGCUUGUCUAUAUAUAGUAUUAGUGUCGGUGUGUCAAUAGUAGUAUUAGUUUUGGAGGCUUGUCUAUAUUAGUCUUAUUUUUUGGAUUACGUUUCUUUCCACCUGCAUCCUCUCUUCAUAAUGGAUUACGUUUCUUUGUUAUUGCCAUGUGUUACUUUUUCUUAUGACUGUGACCGUCAGUGCCCUUAACAGUGGUUGUUCUUGCUUUAUGGCUGCCUUCUCAGUGCACUUUUAUUAGUUCUAAUACAUUAAUAUAAUAUGCUCGAUUGACCAUAUUAAUUAUAUAUUUCACUUCACCGGGGCUGUUGGUCGAAGUGUUGGUUAAAAUAUUUUGGUGGCAGUGUAUAAAACUAAUUGUUGUACAGCAUUGUUAAGUGCACUUUUGAGCUUUGAGUAGACAACUAUGGUCAUAAUUACCUUAAAGGAUCGUUAGUAUAUAUUAUUGUCGGAUUUCCAUGUUCAGUUAUUCACACUAUAUUAUUGCUUGAUUCUGAUAGCUUGCUAUUAUUAGAGCAGGAAGGGUAUUCCUGGUGUGACAUUCAAAAGCAGUCAAAACGGUGAGGUUUAGAACGGAGGAGCUCCGUGGAAUUAUGGAUAAAAAAUUAUCCAUAACAUGUCUGUCAUUUCUCAUGUCGACCAAGGUAUGUGACCGAGCAGUGACAGUUGUCUCUAAUUAUCAAUUUUAUAUAGAGUCUUCUUGAUUGAUGAUUUUGUAGCCUUCUCUUAGUUGUACCAUAUUAAUUCUUAAAACUGGAUCAUUUAAAAUUAGUUAGAUUUAAUGAGUUGUUCCACUGUUUCCAAAUAAGUAGUUUAAGCCCUUAUUGUGUUCUGGAGCUUAUUCUUUCUGCCUUUUUAUGAUUGAUAUAUGCUCUCACAAGCUUAAAUGUAACUAUUGACAUAUAAUCUCAUGGCUCAAAGUCAUAGUUGAAUGUAUUAAAAUUUAUAAGAUUUGGAGUUUGCACUAUAAUUUCAUCCAGCGGUAUUCCCAAUAACUGAAUGUUAAGAGCACUGACGAUCCCAGGCUGUACAUUCAUGUACUGGGAAAUGCUUUUAUCUUGCACGCCAGUUUUACAUUUAUUUUUCAAUAACAAGAUGACCAUGAACAGGGUAUCAAGGUAUUUGCCUUGGCAUUACUAAUGUCGUGUUCAGAUUACUAAAAGAAGGAUUGAUAGCGGCAUACCUUAACUCGACUGAUGCUUUAACUACUGCCUCUCUAAGCCUUGAUUAGCCAUGGAGAUACUCAAGUUCCAAAGCCCCAAGUGAGGCUAUCCUUCUAAGAUCCGUUCAUCCCAAUUCAUUAAUUUGUUUGAAAUAUAUAUAUAUGUAUAUUCCAAUAUUGCUCAAUCUCCAGCUGGCCUCUAGGUUAUCAGAUGAAAUCCGGUUAAAUUUUAGGGAGGUUGAGUAGGAGUGUUUGGAACUAAAGGCUUUGUUGUUGUUUGAGUAGGAUUAUCUCCCUUUUCUGUAUAAAUUUUGUUGCUAUGAAUAGUUGCAUUGUUACGUCAAUGAAAAGUUCCUGGGCGUACUAUGUGUUCCUCUAGACUUGGUUGAAAGUAUUCCUUCUGUUAUCCAGUUUCUCACUACGCAUGUUACCUUUGUUGCUGAAUUUUGCCUAUAGUUUAUAUAUAGUAGACUCACAUGAUUACCUGAUGACUCAUUCAUGCAAGAACUAUUGUUAAUUUUUUCCUUUUCUGCAAUGAUGGUCGUAGUCCUUUGAUUCUACCAGCCGCAAAGGAGUGAAUGUAGAAAAUAUGUCCAUUGUCGUUGAAUUGGUGGGAUUGUCACCAAGUUAGUGCCGCAGAUUUCUAUUUUAGAGCAAGAAGCCAAAUCAUGUAGUUUCAUUGUAAAUCUUGAAAAACUUGUUUAUUGUCACUUCUAUAUCUGUUACAAGCUUUUUUUUUCAUGAUGUGGUACUUGUCAAUCUUGGUUUGCCCUUCCAUUUCAAGUCUGCCCUUAAAUUCCAGCAGACCAAAAAGUCCUUGUUUCUUCAAUUGGUUUCUCGUUUCAUGUUUGCACUUCUAUUACAGUACAAUAUUUCAUAAACAUGGCAUUGGUCAUUAUUUGUCCAGUUCCCUUCAAAAAAAGAAGAGAUGGCUAUAGAGAGUUGAUCCUUCUACAUAACAGAGCAGAGGAGUGGGAACUAUAAACAUGCCUCACUGAAGAGAUGAAAAAUGUUGUGCAAGGCAUUGGUUGUUAAGCUCCUUUAAAAAUGAAGGAAUUAUAGUGCAUCUGACCUAUAAAGGGGUUGUGAGGGACAAAACGCUAUGGAUUCAGAGUAGUGGGAGGGCACAGUUUACCAACGACGCAAGGACAAAGCGUGACCUUGAUUCCAAAGUUCCAGCUCACAUAGCAGAAUUGUAUAGAGAGGAUGCCUGCAUUUUGAAAACUCUGUUACAUAGUUUGAGGCUAUGUUUCUUUCAAUUUUCAUUAUUAAAAGGAUCCUUAUUAUUGCCAAAUUGUCAAUUAUUUUCAAAUAGCUCUUGGUUUGAAAUGGGACCAUGUGCCAUCUAGCGCAAUGGGUACUGUUAUUAUACAUUCUAUUAUUGACAACAAG
This 6332-nucleotide long non-coding RNA is filed under the name Triticum aestivum (bread wheat). Its description in RNAcentral is "long non-coding RNA (TAES_LNC002119)". The record is from RNAcentral. Lineage: Eukaryota; Viridiplantae; Streptophyta; Magnoliopsida; Poales; Poaceae.